UACGGAGGGUGCGAGCGUUGUCCGGAAUCACUGGGCGUAAAGGGCGCGUAGGCGGCCUGAUAAGUAGGGGGUGAAAUCCUGCGGCUUAACCGCAGGGCUGCCUUCUAAACUGUCAGGCUAGAGCACAGUAGAGGCAGGUGGAAUUCCCGGUGUAGCGGUGGAAUGCGUAGAGAUCGGGAAGAACAUCAGUGGCGAAGGCGGCCUGCUGGGCUGUUGCUGACGCUGAGGCGCGACAGCGUGGGGAGCAACAGG
Molecule: ribosomal RNA, 252 nt
Filed under: uncultured bacterium
Lineage: Bacteria
Description: partial 16S ribosomal RNA
Rfam family: Bacterial small subunit ribosomal RNA
Source: RNAcentral